Molecule: ribosomal RNA, 444 nt
Filed under: uncultured bacterium
Lineage: Bacteria
Description: bacterial SSU rRNA
Rfam family: Bacterial small subunit ribosomal RNA
Source: RNAcentral
AGCGAACGCUGGCGGCAGGCCUAAUACAUGCAAGUCGAGCGGGUCCUUCGGGAUUAGCGGCGGACGGGUGAGUAACGCGUGGGAACGUGCCCUUUGGUACGGGAACAACUGAGGGAAACUUCAGCUAAUACCGUAUGUGCCCUUCGGGGAAAGAUUAUCGCCAUUGGAGCGGCCCGCGUUGGAUUAGGUAGUUGGUGAGGUAAAGGCUCACCAAGCCUACGAUCCAUAGCUGGUCUGAGAGGAUGACCAGCCACACUGGGACUGAGACACGGCCCAGACUCCUACGGAGGCAGCAGUAGGGAAUCUUGCGCAAUGGGCGAAAGCCUGACGCAGCCAUGCCGCGUGAAUGAUGAAGGUCUUAGGAUUGUAAAAUCUUUCACCGGGGACGAUAAUAGACGGUAACCCGGAGAAGAAAGCCCCGGCUAACUUCGUGCCAGCAGCCGC